UGGUGGGUAGUUUGACUGGGGCGGUCUCCUCCUAAAGAGUAACGGAGGAGCACGAAGGUUGGCUAAUCCUGGUCGGACAUCAGGAGGUUAGUGCAAUGGCAUAAGCCAGCUUGACUGCGAGCGUGACGGCGCGAGCAGGUGCGAAAGCAGGUCAUAGUGAUCCGGUGGUUCUGAAUGGAAGGGCCAUCGCUCAACGGAUAAAAGGUACUCCGGGGAUAACAGGCUGAUACCGCCCAAGAGUUCAUAUCGACGGCGGUGUUUGGCACCUCGAUGUCGGCUCAUCACAUCCUGGGGCUGAAGUAGGUCCCAAGGGUAUGGCUGUUCGCCAUUUAAAGUGGUACGCGAGCUGGGUUUAGAACGUCGUGAGACAGUUCGGUCCCUAUCUGCCGUGGGCGCUGGAGAACUGAGGGGGGCUGCUCCUAGUACGAGAGGACCGGAGUGGACGCAUCACUGGUGUUCGGGUUGUCAUGCCAAUGGCACUGCCCGGUAGCUAAAUGCGGAAGAGAUAAGUGCUGAAAGCAUCUAAGCACGAAACUUGCCCCGAGAUGAGUUCUCCCUGACUCCUUGAGAGUCCUGAAGGAACGUUGAAGACGACGACGUUGAUAGGCCGGGUGUGUAAGCGCAGCGAUGCGUUGAGCUAACCG
Molecule: ribosomal RNA, 644 nt
Filed under: Escherichia coli
Lineage: Bacteria; Pseudomonadati; Pseudomonadota; Gammaproteobacteria; Enterobacterales; Enterobacteriaceae
Description: partial 23S ribosomal RNA
Rfam family: Bacterial large subunit ribosomal RNA
Source: RNAcentral